GAUCCAGACUUUGAUCCUGGCUCAGGACGAACGCUGGCGGCGCGCCUAACACAUGCAAGUCGAACGGGGUUUACAGGCGGAAGUUUUCGGAUGGAAGCUUGUAGACUUAGUGGCGGACGGGUGAGUAACACGUGAGCAACCUGCCUAUCAGAGGGGGAUAACGAUUGGAAACGAUCGCUAAUACCGCAUGACAUAGCGGAACCGCAUGGUUUUGCUAUCAAAGAUUUAUCGCUGAUAGAUGGGCUCGCGUCCGAUUAGAUAGUUGGUGAGGUAACGGCUCACCAAGUCGACGAUCGGUAGCCGGACUGAGAGGUCGAACGGCCACAUUGGGACUGAGACACGGCCCAGACUCCUACGGGAGGCAGCAGUGGGGGAUAUUGCACAAUGGGGGAAACCCUGAUGCAGCGACGCCGCGUGAGGGAAGACGGUCCUCUGGAUUGUAAACCUCUGUCUUCGGGGACGAAACGAGACGGUACCCGAGGAGGAAGCCACGGCUAACUACGUGCCAGCAGCCGCGGUAAUACGUAGGUGGCAAGCGUUGUCCGGAAUUACUGGGUGUAAAGGGAGCGUAGGCGGGCAGGCAAGUCAGGCGUGAAAUAUAUCGGCUCAACCGGUAUCUGCGCUUGAAACUGCAGGUCUUGAGUGAAGUAGAGGUUGGCGGAAUUCCUAGUGUAGCGGUGAAAUGCGUAGAUAUUAGGAGGAACACCAGUGGCGAAGGCGGCCAACUGGGCUUUUACUGACGCUGAGGCUCGAAAGUGUGGGGAGCAAACAGGAUUAGAUACCCUGGUAGUCCACACCGUAAACGAUGAUUACUAGGUGUGGGGGGGACUGACCCCUUCCGUGCCGGAGUUAACACAAUAA
RNAcentral lists this ribosomal RNA (861 nucleotides) under uncultured bacterium. RNAcentral describes it as "bacterial SSU rRNA". It matches the Rfam family "Bacterial small subunit ribosomal RNA", at positions 1 to 863 of the family's 1533-position model. The record is from RNAcentral.